RNAcentral lists this transfer RNA (68 nucleotides) under Salmo salar (Atlantic salmon). It matches the Rfam family "tRNA", at positions 8 to 63 of the family's 71-position model. Rfam says of the family: Transfer RNA (tRNA) molecules are approximately 80 nucleotides in length. The record is from Rfam by way of RNAcentral. Lineage: Eukaryota; Metazoa; Chordata; Actinopteri; Salmoniformes; Salmonidae.
UAGCUCAGUUGGUAGAGCAUGAGCUCUGAGCUCUGAGCUCUGCCCAGGGUUGUGGGUUCGAUUCCCAC